RNAcentral lists this transfer RNA (64 nucleotides) under Bolitobius castaneus. RNAcentral describes it as "tRNA-His". The record is from RNAcentral. Lineage: Eukaryota; Metazoa; Arthropoda; Insecta; Coleoptera; Staphylinidae.
AUUUAAAUAGUUUAAUAAAAAUUUUGAUUUGUGGAGUCAAAGAUAUGAAUAAUCAUUUUAAAUA